CCUACGGGAGGCAGCAGUGAGGAAUAUUGGUCAAUGGACGAGAGUCUGAACCAGCCAAGUAGCGUGAAGGAUGACUGCCCUAUGGGUUGUAAACUUCUUUUAUAUGGGAAUAAAAUGUUCCACGUGUGGGAUUUUGUAUGUACCAUAUGAAUAAGGAUCGGCUAACUCCGUGCCAGCAGCCGCGGUAAUACGGAGGAUCCGAGCGUUAUCCGGAUUUAUUGGGUUUAAAGGGAGCGUAGGUGGAUUGUUAAGUCAGUUGUGAAAGUUUGCGGCUCAACCGUAAAAUUGCAGUUGAAACUGGCAGUCUUGAGUACAGUAGAGGUGGGCGGAAUGCGUUGUGUAGCGGUGAAAUGCUUAGAUAUCACGAAGAACUCCGAUUGCGAAGGCAGUUCACUGGACUGCAACUGACACUGAGGCUCGAAAGUGUGGGUAUCAAACAGGAUUAGAUACCCGAGUAGUC
Molecule: ribosomal RNA, 460 nt
Filed under: uncultured bacterium
Lineage: Bacteria
Description: partial 16S ribosomal RNA
Rfam family: Bacterial small subunit ribosomal RNA
Source: RNAcentral